GCCCCUGUAGUAUAAGCUAAUACACCGGUCUUGUAAACCGGAGACGAAGACCUCCUUCUAAGGACA
Molecule: transfer RNA, 66 nt
Filed under: Gorilla gorilla gorilla (western lowland gorilla)
Lineage: Eukaryota; Metazoa; Chordata; Mammalia; Primates; Hominidae
Rfam family: tRNA
About the family: Transfer RNA (tRNA) molecules are approximately 80 nucleotides in length.
Source: Rfam by way of RNAcentral